GGAGGAGGCAGGAGAUUAGGGGUGCGGCCGGGCCCAGAUAUGGGGCUGCCACCCAGGAGGCUGGCCUCACCUUGAUGAGGACGUUGUCGUAGCUGGUGGGGUUCAUGACGUCAUAGCAGAUGAGCACGAGUUUCAAACUUACAGUAAAAUUGCAACAAGAGUGAAGAGCUCUCUGACUGUGAUUCACCACCUGUUUGCAUUGGCCCCUCUGGCUUUAUCUGGAGACAGACGCUUCUGUUUCUCCCUAUCAGGGCACGGUAACUGUAGACAUCUGCCUCUUCACUCCUUAGCUCAGCGCCUAUCUGCUGAGAACAAGGGCAUUCUCUCCCCUGCCCCAAGCCCCGGAAACCGCAUGGACUCUGCAUUCUAAUCCGAUCCACAGGCCAUAGUCAGAUUUUGACCAUUUCACCAAUAUGGUCCUUUAUUUUUUUCCCCAUUGAAGAGCCAGCCCAGCCCAGGGUUCUACACUGCACUUAGUCAUCAUGCCCCGGUAUUUUUUUUAAAAUCCCCACAGUGAGAACUAAGUUUUUCAGGCUCAUUGGUGACCAGCCCCCCGCCCCUCGACUUCCUUCCACUGAACAAGGAACGUGGAGGCCCAGGAAUCCCCCUGCCCCGUCCCCAGCUGCUGCAGGUGCUGGGUGGCGCCAGCCUGCCCUCCGCUCCGUCUCUGCCAGACACCUCUCAGGACAAGUGGCCUCUCCACGGAGCACCACCAGGCCAUGUCUGCUCCUACCCCCUUGCUGGUGACAGGGCAUGGCCACCCUCUCCCCACUAGCUCCCCCUCAACCCAGGGACCUCCAAAAGUCCUCAGCCAGCUCCCCCAUGGAACAAUGCUUAAGGGUGAGGUCACUAGAGGCAGAUGAGACACAUGUUCAAAUCCCAGCUCUGCCCUCACCGGCUGUGUGACCUUGACUUAGACAGGACAGUAGUGGGAGUCUUGGCUUCCCCACCUGGAAGAUGAAAAUCAUAAAAUCUACCUUACGGGGCUGUCACCAGCCAAGGCACACCAUUGCACUCCAGCCUGGGUGACAAGAGCGAAACUCUGUAUCAAAAAAAAUAAAAAAUAAUAAAAAUAAAAAAUGAAUUAACAUGAA
Molecule: long non-coding RNA, 1094 nt
Organism: Symphalangus syndactylus (siamang)
Lineage: Eukaryota; Metazoa; Chordata; Mammalia; Primates; Hylobatidae
Source: RefSeq, a predicted model, not a curated record